RNAcentral lists this long non-coding RNA (3041 nucleotides) under Ailuropoda melanoleuca (giant panda). RNAcentral describes it as "lncRNA (ENSAMEG00000028080.1)". Lineage: Eukaryota; Metazoa; Chordata; Mammalia; Carnivora; Ursidae. The record is from RNAcentral.
GGCCUGCAGAAAUUUAAGAAGAAAUCACUUAUCUCUGACUAAACAGCCGUUUGAGAUCACAGAAAAUUUUAUUGUAGAAACACCAGAAAUGGCAAGCCCUUCGAGGUACAACCUUCAACCAAGAAAUGCUGAAGUCACAGCACUCCGCGAGGGACCCGUACUGGACCCGUCCGAUGCCCCAAGAGAAUCAUGGACUUGGAGUUUGCAUUAGGACUCAGCAAGGAAGAGAAGGCGACUCCAGAUCUUGGAAGCAACAUCACCCUCCCCCUCUCCGGGCCUGCUAGUUGGCUGAUAGUUUCCCCUUCCUUCCGCUCCAGAGCGGCUCAAACACCUUGUGAAAGGCCUGAAAGGAAGGGUCAAAUUCUCACCAAGUGCUCAGUCAGAGAGAACAGGAGGCAGAGAGACUCUGAGAGCCCAGUAAAGGGCACCCUGCUUCCUUUCCCGUAACAGGAUGGAACCCUCCCGAGACCCAUGCCCCAUCCUCCAACUCCUCAGGGCCGCGCACCUGGACACGGCAGCGCUGGGCUGCACGCGGCCAGCCUCCUGGACAAUUCUCAGGAGGGGCCAAGCUGCCUAAGAACAGAGCUGUUCGGAGGAGCAGGAUAGAGCAGAACCCCAUUGCUUGCCCACUGGCUUCUCCACCCACGGGUAAUUAGUGCUCCCGGGGGACAAGGGCACAUGCCCUCUCAGUACCCCCACCUUGGGCUGCUAACCCAGACAAUGAUGCUUCUUAAGACAGAGAUGCAGAGUCAGCACCAGCAUGACUUCGAGGUGUCUGAUGAGCACAGCAAAUCCAUACUCUCCAUGGACAUGAAAGGAUGAGGCUAACGGACCAACAGACAGGAAUGGGUCCCUGGCACAGGGGUUCCUCUUGCCAACCUAUUCCCCAGAAGGCCUCACUCUGUGGUCCCCUAAGGGAUGGAUUAUUGUUCACAGGGCAGCCCAGCUGCAUGAAAGGGAGCCUGGGAGUGAGAAACCUGGUGUCCUUGACUUUAACUCUCCAUUAUCCGCUUUGUAGAUACUCUCCAGUGCUAAACUGGGCCCCCGGGUGUCCCCAGGGGCAGGAGCAGGUCCAGCUGAGUGGAGUCUGCGCGCAGAGCGGUCUGGCUGUGAUUGUUACCGCCAGCCAGCGCCCUCCGAAGACAGAUGGGCUGCUUGGGGUUAUCCGCCUGCUUCCCCAGCUAGCGUGGAACGAAUCGGCAAAGCUGCUGAGACCCGUGAGGCAAAGGUGCAGCCCGCACGUGGGCCCCAGAGGCACGGCCCACCUGCACUCCUCGCCCUCCAGCAGCUUGCGGUAGGUGGCGAUCUCCACGUCCAGGGACAGCUUGGCCCCCAGCAGCGCCUGGUAGUCUCGCAGCAGCCGGGCCAGCUCCUCCUUGGCCUGGAGCAGGGCCUCCUGCAGGUCCUGCAGCUUUGGCUUCGCAUCCUGAAGGGCCCGCUCUCCUCUCUCCUCUGCAUCCGAAAUGGCCAUAUGCAUCUGCUCGAUCUGCUCGGGAGACGGUCACAGAGGAGAACCGAACGGGGGUUGAGUUUCAGGAGCCCCCGCUGGCAGGGCCUGGUGGGAGGCGGCGUGUCUGGUCAGCCCACCCUGAGCGUCCUUCUCACCUGCUUCUUGAUGUUGCUGAUCUCUGCCUGCAGCCUCUGGAUGGUGCGGUUGAGCUCAGCGAUCUCCAUCUUGCUGUUCUUCAGUUCGUCUCCUUGUCUCCCCGCCGAGAUCUGGAGCUCCUGGUACUGCGGGUCGGAGGCAGCGUCAUGGUCAGCCUGCUGCUCAGCAUGAGGCCCUCUACCUUCCCAGACGCUGCCUGAAGCUGCUGUCUCAGGGCAGUACCCGGGCACACCCCACCCCAGAGCUGUGAUACCCCCCACACACCCUCCUGCGCCAAAGGUCCCUCACUGAGCCGUGACACACACACACACACGCACGCACAUGCACACACAGUCUUGUUCAAGCCUCCCUCCUUCUCACCAGUCUCUGGGCCAGACCCACAUCCCAGACAGACAAAGCUGUUCCACCUACUUGUUCCCCCAUCAAAGCCUCCCUAGUGGCCCUUACCCACAUCGGGACCUCUUCCCUUUUGCCACCACAUCAUAUUCCUUCCUACCCUUUUCCAGGAUGGUUUCCCUAGCAGCCACAAUCUCACUUCCUCAGAGGCCCUCAGCACGCCCUUUGUUUACUCCCACUCUCCUCUCUAUGUCGUUUCUGUAUCUACAGUAGGCUCUCACGGGCAAGGCUCUGGAGGAAGCAAGGCAGCCGGGGGGGGGGGGGGGGGGGGGGGGGGGNGGGGGGGGGCGGGAGCGGGGGGGUUGCUGGUUCAAGGGAAGCUCUGCAUUCUGAUGCUUUCACUGUUGACCAUCUUCCUCCCUAGUCUGAUGCUGAAAUCCACGCCAUUCAGAACGCCUGCCUGCAGGGCGGUGGGACAGAGGUCCUCCAGGACUGGAGUUGAGAAAGCAGAUCUCAAGUGCCAGGAGUUCAGAAUGAAGGGACUGGCCUUUGAUCCUUAACUACAGUCUUCACCGUCCAAGAAGAUCCGAGUCCAUUGAUAUUAAAGAAGUAAUCAAAAAUGUGCCCAAAGAUUUAGGCACAGAGAUGUUUAUCCGAUAAAUAAGGGUAGAUUCUUAACCACAGAACACCGUUCUGCUAUUGAAAAUGAUGUCGAAUAUUUAAUGUCACAAUACGGCAUUCACAAAUAAUAAGAGAAAGAGAAAAGGACAGUACUACAGUUUAAAAGAUAUUGUCAUGAAAAGAGUAAGAAUAAAAAACAUUAUAGUGGUUUAGCACGUGGGUUUGUAGACGAGACACCUAGGUCCUGCCUCUGCUGCUUACCAGCCGUAAGACCCUGGGGAAACUGGGUGAGCUCGUACUCUCCUAUCUUCAAAAGAGGGGUAAUUAGAUCCUUACCUCACAGGGUUGUUGUAAGGAGUAAAUGAAAUUUUAUAUACAUAUAUAUGUAUAAAAUGUAUAUAGAUACGUGUGUAUAUAUAUAUAUACAUAUAUAUGUACACGUAACUUCCAAAAUAAGGGAACGAUGAUGGAAGUUCUG